ACUUGAGCUAAAUUCAACUCAUCGUGUCUCCAGCGACUGACCACGGAUGUACUGGCAGUUGUUGUUGAGGCGGAUUGAGAAAGGUCGGCACGGAGGGAGGUGCCGACCUUUUUCUUU
RNAcentral lists this small RNA (117 nucleotides) under Rhizobium tibeticum. RNAcentral describes it as "Alphaproteobacterial sRNA ar35". It matches the Rfam family "Alphaproteobacterial sRNA ar35". The record is from Rfam by way of RNAcentral. Lineage: Bacteria; Pseudomonadati; Pseudomonadota; Alphaproteobacteria; Hyphomicrobiales; Rhizobiaceae.